Juglans microcarpa x Juglans regia is the source of this 2353-nucleotide long non-coding RNA. RefSeq lists it as uncharacterized. The transcript is spliced from 2 exons. The record is from RefSeq and is a predicted model, not a curated record. NCBI's taxonomy places the organism in Eukaryota, Viridiplantae, Streptophyta, Magnoliopsida, Fagales, Juglandaceae.
AACGCCUUCGUAUCAAAUCAUUAUUGUGGAUGUGGAAGGUUGUUGUGGUGUGCUUUCAAGAAACAAAGUUGCAACUUAUUGAUAGAAGUAUUGUGCGGAGCCUAUGGGGAUGCUCGUAUGUGGAUUGGUUGAGGCGAUUGAGGAGUGUAUUGUAGAUUUCUCUGCAGCAACUCUUUUCAAAAAUGUUGUUGAUGGAUGGGAAUGGGCAUUUGUAGGCACAUAUGGUCCUAAUGUGGACAAGGUAGAAGAAGGUUGUGGGAGGAGUUGGCGGGCCUACAUUCUGUUUGGGUUGUGCCGUGGUGUAUGGGGGAUGAUUUUAACAUAACUCGCUUCCCUAGUGAGUGAUCGGGGCAUUAUCGGAAUUUUGUGGCUAUGAAGGAGUUUCCAGAGUUCAUCUUUGAUCUGGAAUUUACGGAUCUUCCAUUGGUAGGGGGUGAGUAUACUUGGUCAAAUGGUCGGGUUUGGUCCAAAUUGGAUAGAUUUCUUGUCUCUCCGUCGUGGGAAGCCCACUUUCCGGAAGUAUGUCAGAAACAGCUAGCUCGAGUCAACUCAGAUUAUUUUCCUAUUAUUCUAGAUUGUGGGGGUAUGAAUAGGGGUCGUCAGUCUUUUAAGUUUGAAAAUAUGUGGCUUUUAGCGGAUGGAUUUGUAGAGAUGGUGUGUGCCUAGUGGUCAGCAUAUCAGUUGUUAGGCACUCCAAGUUUCAUUCUUGCAAGUAAAUUGAAGGCCUUGAAGAAAGACCUGAAGAAGUGGAACUUGGAAGUUUUUUGCCACACUGACAAUCCAAAGUCAACUCUGUUGGAGGAAUUGAGGAGAUAGAGGGUAAGGAAUUUUUGGGUAAUGUUUCGGAGGAGGUGUUAUUGAGGAAGGCCACAGUGAUGGCAAAUUUGGAGAGGGUUUUGUUGUCGGAGGAGACUUUGUGGCGUCAAAAAUUCAGGGCCCUUUGGUUGAAAAAAUGUGAUAAGUGUACGGAGUAUUUUCACAAAGUGGCUAAUUCACAUCGGCGUAGCAACACUAUCGAGUCGCUAUAUUCAGAUACUCAGGUCUUAUCUUCUCCUUCCGAACUAGAAAAUCACAUUGUGCAUUAUUAUGAGGCCCUUCUCAAGGAAUUGGCUAGCUGAAGGCCGAAGCUUGAUGCUUUGUCUUUCGAGGCAAUUGAUUCUUAGAGUGCAAGUGUUUUGGGGAGACUUUUUUAUGAAGAUGAGAUUUAUAAGGUUAUUUCUAGUAUGACUAAAGAUAAAGCGCUGGGUCCGGAUGAUUUUUCAAUGGGUUUCUUUCAAAUUUGUUGGGAUAUAGUGAAAUGUGAUGUUUUGCAAGUUUUUAGUGAAUUUUACUUUUUCCAAAAGUUUGAAAAAUCCCUUAAUGCGACGUUCAUUGCGCUCAUUCCCAAAAAACAUGGGGUUUCGAUUAUUGAGGAUUUUGACCCUAUAAGCCUGGUUAGUAGUGUGCAUAAGAUUAUUUUAAAGGUUCUUGCUAAUCGUUUAAGUCUUGUGUUGGAGCAGAUCAUUUCCAAGUCCCAGAACGCCUUUAUUCGUGGGAGACAAAUUCUUGAUUUGGUACUUAUUGCAAAUGAGUGCUUGGAUCAUAGAUUGAGGGAGGGAGGUUCAGGUAUCUUGUGCAAGCUUGACAUGGAGAAGGUCUAUGAUCAUGUGAAUUGAGAUUUUCUUUUAAAUCUGCUUGGGAGAUGUGGUUUUGGUGACAGGUGGAUUUUCUGGAUGAGUCAUUGUAUUUUUACCGCUUGGUUCUUAGUUCUAGUUAACGGUACACCUACUGGGUUCUUUGAUAGUUCGCGGGGCUUGCGACAAAGAGAUCCACUAUCUCCUCUGUUGUUUGUUAUAGUUAUGGAGGCCUUUAGCCGGAUGGUACAGUCUACUGUUGGUGGAGGUUUCUUAUCUGAGUUUCAGGUGGGUAAUUGCAUUGGUGGUUCCAUCUUCAUCUCUCAUCUUUUAUUUGCAGAUGAUACUCUACUCUUUUGUAAAGCAGAUAGCAGCCAGAUCCAAACUUUAUGAGCACUGCUACUAUGUUUUGAAGUAGUGUCUGGGCUCAAAGUGAAUCUUGGUAAGUCUGAGAUAGUUCCAGUGGAUGCAGUUUCUAAUAUUUUCAGUCUAGCUAGCCUUUUAGACUGCAUGGUGUCCUCUCUACCAAUGAAAUACUUGGGUCUUCCUUUGGGAGCAUUUUUUAAGCCUAGAACUAUAUGAGAUGGGGUGGUGGAGAAGAUAGAGACUAGGUUGGCUGGGUGGAAACGGAUGUAUUUAUCAAAAGGGGUCGUCUCACUCUUAUGAAGAGCACUCUUACUAAUCUCUCCACAUAUUUUUUAUAUUUGUUUCCGAUGCCUGCAAGGGUAGUGAACAGGAUU